CCUACGGGUGGCUGCAGUGGGGAAUAUUGCACAAUGGGCGCAACCCUGAUGCAGCGACGCCGCGUGAGGGAAGAAGUAUUUCGGUUCGUAAAGCUCUAUCAGCAGGGAAGAAAAUGACGGUACCUGACUUUGAUUCCCCGGCGAAAUACGUGCCAGCGGCCACGCGAAUACGUAGGGGGCACGCGUUAUCCGGAUUUACUGGGUGUAAAGGGAGCGUAGACGGGAGCGCAAGUCUGAAGUGAAAUCCCAGGGCUUAACCAUGGAACUGCAUUGGAAACUGUGCAGCUAGAGUGCAGGAGAGGUAAGCGGAAUUCCUAGUGUAGCGGUGAAAUGCGUAGAUAUUAGGAGGAACACCAGUGGCGAAGGCGGCUUACUGGACUGUAACUGACGUUGAGGCUCGAAAGCGUGGGGAGCAAACAGGAUUAGAUACCCUGGUAGUC
This 440-nucleotide ribosomal RNA is filed under the name uncultured bacterium. Its description in RNAcentral is "partial 16S ribosomal RNA". It matches the Rfam family "Bacterial small subunit ribosomal RNA", at positions 338 to 795 of the family's 1533-position model. The record is from RNAcentral.